UUCACCACCUUCUACAGUCCUCUGCUCUGUCUAAUCACUUUGUGAAGUUGUCCAGUCUUGCGCUCACCUCCUUGCUAUCUCCUGCCCCGAUGUUUUCACCUUCUGCCUGGAGCAAUGUGGGGAGAAUGUAAUGAACACAGAUGAAGUAGGGAAAGGAGAUCUAGGGAAGCAUCUCUAGCAGGAGAUUAGAGAACUAGUGUGUUCCUCAUGCCUGAUGGUUCACACAACAGGUUAAAGGAAGCAUGAAGGUGAGCUAGACCACUGUGAUUAGAUAAAGAAAGCAGACUCAGUGGCCUCUACACCUGCUUUUGCAUAACGUGAGACAGACCCAGAUGCACAGAGAGCUCUGAAAUGUCAUGAAGGAAGCAGAUGAAGAAGACAGUACAGGACAGAGCCCUUUUCAGAGCAACGUGAUUAAUAGCUCACUUUCAAGAACAGCAUGCAGGGUGCAUGCUUGCCCACAUGACAAAAGAUACUCAGAUACAAGCCCACAUGACAAAAGAUACUCAGAUCCAAGCACUCGCGAACUUCCAGUGUCGGGUGGUAGGAGACUACUCAUCAUUCCUCCCUCUGCUGGCGAUUUCAUGAAUAAGCCAGGUGGACCAGCCUGUGUGAAAUGCCUAAAUGCAUAGAGACGCCAGGCUCCCAGCUAACCAUUGAGAGGGAAAUGUGGGAAAUUACAUUACAUAUCAGAGUACAGUCUGAACAGUUUCACCAUAGAAUGUAUCAUAGAAAGUAGUCUG
RNAcentral lists this long non-coding RNA (743 nucleotides) under Homo sapiens (human). RNAcentral describes it as "HSALNT0368606". The record is from RNAcentral. Lineage: Eukaryota; Metazoa; Chordata; Mammalia; Primates; Hominidae.